This is a long non-coding RNA of Manacus vitellinus (golden-collared manakin), 446 nucleotides long. RefSeq lists it as uncharacterized. The record is from RefSeq and is a predicted model, not a curated record. The transcript is spliced from 3 exons. Lineage: Eukaryota; Metazoa; Chordata; Aves; Passeriformes; Pipridae.
UUGGAAACGCAGCGCAGCUCUGGAAUGGCGCAUUCCUGUGGUGCCACAGGCAAUUGCUGCAACCACCUCGUGUAGCAACAUAUGAUCUGAAAUUUGCUUGACAUGAGAGGUAUUGGAUAAGGACUUGAAAACUGCCUUUGCAGUCUUUCUCUUCUGUGCUGCACUGAGACAUUUCUGCAGCCUGCAAUUUCUCUUGGUUUAAGCAGUAUUUAUCAAAUGGAAACAUAUGUAUACAGUAGAAAACAACUAUAUCCCAGCUUCUGUGGUGGAGUUUCUGGUUGACACAUUUGACCACACUAUGAAUGAUGGGCUAUAGGACCUCAUGCAUUCUUUUGGAAGGCCUUGCCUCCAGCAGGACUGUGAUUCUGUGAUUCCCCCUAGAUUUCAUAAGUCUAUCAAUACUUAUGUUGCAAAAAAAUUGAAAAAAGAAGCUUCUGUCAACUAGA